UCUUUUCCUUUUUUUCCAGCCGCCGCGGUAAUACGUAGGGGGCAAGCGUUAUCCGGAUUUACUGGGUGUAAAGGGAGCGUAGACGGCAUGGCAAGCCAGAUGUGAAAGCCCGGGGCUCAACCCCGGGACUGCAUUUGGAACUGUCAGGCUAGAGUGUCGGAGAGGAAAGCGGAAUUCCUAGUGUAGCGGUGAAAUGCGUAGAUAUUAGGAGGAACACCAGUGGCGAAGGCGGCUUUCUGGACGAUGACUGACGUUGAGGCUCGAAAGCGUGGGGAGCAAACAGG
RNAcentral lists this ribosomal RNA (284 nucleotides) under Mediterraneibacter gnavus ATCC 29149. Its description in RNAcentral is "[Ruminococcus] gnavus ATCC 29149 partial 16S ribosomal RNA". It matches the Rfam family "Bacterial small subunit ribosomal RNA", at positions 493 to 776 of the family's 1533-position model. Lineage: Bacteria; Bacillati; Bacillota; Clostridia; Lachnospirales; Lachnospiraceae. The record is from RNAcentral.